Neofelis nebulosa (Clouded leopard) is the source of this 880-nucleotide long non-coding RNA. RefSeq lists it as uncharacterized. The transcript has 3 exons. The record is from RefSeq and is a predicted model, not a curated record. Lineage: Eukaryota; Metazoa; Chordata; Mammalia; Carnivora; Felidae.
GGGAGAGGCAGAGAAAGGAAGACAGAGGAUCUGAAGCAGGCUUCAUGCUGGCAACAGAGAGUCCAAUGUGGGGGUCAAACUCAUGAACCAUGAGAUCAUGAGCUGCAGUUGGACUCUUAGCCAACAGAGCCACCCAGCCAGCCACUGGGUUAUUUGUUUUUUGGGUGUUGAGUUUGAGAGACAGAGCAUGAGUGGGGAAGGGGCAGAGAGAGAGGGAGACAGAAUCUGAAGCAGGCCCCAGGCUCCGAGCUGUCAGCACAGAGCCCAACACGGGGCUCGAACUCACGGACCACAAGAUCAUGACCUGAGCCAAAGUCAGACGCUCAACCAACUAAACCACACAGGCGCCCCUAAAUGUGUCUUUCUACCUCAAGGGCGUUAUUAAUUCCCAAUGUCUAAAAUAGUACCUACUGUUCUUCUAACAUCAGUUAGGAAUAUAUUUGGCUGCAAGUAACAACAACAACAAACCAUGAACUUAACAAAUUUUAGCCACCUAAGAAGAAAUCCAAAGGUUUGAACUGAAACAUCGGCUCUUGUUGGGUCUGGAGGCUGCCAGCUUUUGGAUGGAAACCACACUGUCAGCAAUCCUGGUUAUCAGGCCUUUGGACUUGGACUGGAACAAAAUCAUCGGCUCUCCUGGGUCUCCAGCUUGCCAACUCACUGCAGAUCUUGGGACUUACCUUCUUCCAUAAUCACAUGAGCCAAUUCCUUGCAAUCAAUUGCUCAAACUUAUUGGUUCUGUUUCUAUGGAGAACCCUGACUGAUACAGAAUGAUAUUGUUAUGAUUGGUUCAAAGUGCUGUACAACACAAAUAUAAUGUGAGUCAUUUGUGUAAUUCAAAGUCUUCUAGUAGCCACAUUAAAAACACGAAGAGGUGAAA